GCCACCGCAUCCUGGGCUCCCAGCCUGCUGGUCGGCUCCCAGCCCAGGGAAGUGGGGAACCAAGCAGAGGGUACAGUGACCCUGCAGGCGUCCAUGCCGGCAGCAACGCAGAACGCUAAGCUGCUGUCAUGUUCUCCCCUCCUUCCUCAGUGCACAGUGGCCAGGCCUGCUGUCCCUCUCCUGCCCCUGCCGUGUCCAGAUGGCCCCCUGCUGCUUCUGCCUGCUCUUCUUCCUGGUAUCGGAGCCUCUGGGAGGGGGGCUGCUGGGAGAGCUCAAAUUGCUAGGGUUCCAAGUGGCCACCCCACAUUGUGAGAUCAGGAGUCUCUCUGGGACCCCCUCCAGCUCCCCGGCUGGAUCAAGGAACCCUCGGGCCGCAGGUUGGUGUAAGGGACCACCCAGGAGGCUGCCCUCUUCCCCAGCUUAGCCAGCCUGUGGCCCAGGUGGCACAGGACAGGAGGAAGUGACACUCUGUUCAAGCCCCUCUCCCUAUAUACCAGGCUCUGGGCCAAAAGUUUCAUUCUGUCGGGGGCGUGCCUGCUGUGUAGACAAUGGCCACGCUCUGCUAGGGAAACGAUUCACCAAGCCAUGGAGCGUGGCAGGGAGCCCAGCCCAGAUGACUCCCAGCCCCAAGACCUCGGCCCUGACCACUUCCAGGGGGGCACAUGCCACACACGCUGUGCCACAGCCCCUCUCCUAAUACUCUCCAGCCCCCGUGGCCCCCGGAGAGGUGGUGGAGACUGCAGAGGGGGUGUGCAGGUUCCCGGGGCAGCGGCUGAGCUGGUGGCAGGCCCAGGAGUUCUGUGAGCAGCGGUUUGGCCACCUGCCACUGGUGCCCCCAGAGGGGAUUCUUGCUGCACGGCUGCGCGACACGGUCUGGGCGGCGCAAAGAGAGGCUGAUCGCCGGAGGCCCCCGCAGAGGCGUGAGUGUGGGGGCGGGGUGCUGCGACCUUCCCAGGUGGGAGCCCAGAUCGCACCCUACCACAUCUCCAGCUGAGUUCCCCUGCCGUGGACGUGGACGUGGACGGAAAGCAGGGGUGGGGCCCUGGGGAGGGGGAACAGAACUCCCAUUUCUUCCUCCUCGAGAGGAGGGCCU
Molecule: long non-coding RNA, 1093 nt
Filed under: Oryctolagus cuniculus (rabbit)
Lineage: Eukaryota; Metazoa; Chordata; Mammalia; Lagomorpha; Leporidae
Description: lncRNA (ENSOCUG00000035909.1)
Source: RNAcentral